GAAACUGGUGCUAAUACCGGAUGGUCUUUUUCUAAUGCGAGUUAGAUAGAGUAAAGGUGGCCUCUUUUUAAAGCUACCGUAUAGGGAUGAGCCUGCGUACCAUUAGCUAGUAGGUGGGGUAACGGCCCACCUAGGCGACGAUGGUUAGCGGGUCUGAGAGGAUGAUCCGCCACACUGGAACUGGAACACGGACCAGACUCCUACGGGAGGCAGCAGUGAGGAAUAUUGCGCAAUGGGGGCAACCCUGACGCAGCGACGCCGCGUGAGUGAGGAAGGUUUUCGGAUCGUAAAGCUCUGUCAGAAGGGAAGAAGUGUUAUAUGGUUAAUACCCAUAUAAUUUGACGGUACCUUCAGAGGAAGCACCGGCUAACUCCGUGCCAGCAGCCGCGGUAAUACGGAGGGUGCGAGCGUUGUUCGGAAUUACUGGGCGUAAAGGGCGCGUAGGCGGCUUGAUAAGUCAGAUGUGAAAGUCCAUGGCUCAACUGUGGAAGUGCAUUUGAAACUGUCUGGCUUGAGUAUUGGAGGGGAAAGUGGAAUUCCCGG
This 543-nucleotide ribosomal RNA is filed under the name uncultured bacterium. RNAcentral's name for it is "bacterial SSU rRNA". It matches the Rfam family "Bacterial small subunit ribosomal RNA", at positions 153 to 673 of the family's 1533-position model. The record is from RNAcentral.